CCUACGGGUGGCAGCAGUCGAGAAUCAUUCACAAUGGGGGAAACCCUGAUGGUGCGACGCCGCGUGGGGGAAUGAAGGUCUUCGGAUUGUAAACCCCUUUCAUGUGGGAGCAAAUUAAAAAGAUAGUACCACAAGAGGAAGAGACGGCUAACUCUGUGCCAGCAGCCGCGGUAAUACAGAGGUCUCAAGCGUUGUUCGGAAGCACUGGGCGUAAAGCGUGCGUAGGCUGUGUCGUAAGUCGUGUGUGAAAGGCGCGGGCCCAACCCGCGGACGGCACAUGAUACUGCGAGACUAGAGUAAUGGAGGAGGAACCGGAAUUCUCGGUGUAGCAGUGAAAUGCGUAGAUAUCGAGAGGAACACUCGUGGCGAAGGCGGGUUACUGGACAUUAACUGACGCUGAGGCACGAAGGCCAGGGGAGCGAAAGGGAUUAGAUACCCGGGUAGUC
Molecule: ribosomal RNA, 446 nt
Filed under: uncultured bacterium
Lineage: Bacteria
Description: partial 16S ribosomal RNA
Rfam family: Bacterial small subunit ribosomal RNA
Source: RNAcentral